UCCUACGGGAGGCAGCAGUAGGGAAUCUUCCACAAUGGACGAAAGUCUGAUGGAGCAACGCCGCGUGAGCGAAGAAGGGUUUCGGCUCGUAAAGCUCUGUUGGUAGUGAAGAAAGAUAGAGGGAGUAACUGGCCUUUAUUUGACGGGAAUUACUUUGAAAGUCACGGCUAACUACGUGCCAGCAGCCGCGGUAAUACGUAGGUGGGAAGCGUUGUCCGGAUUUAUUGGGCGGAAAGCGAGUGGAGGCGGGUCAAUAAGUAU
This 261-nucleotide ribosomal RNA is filed under the name uncultured bacterium. Its description in RNAcentral is "partial 16S ribosomal RNA". It matches the Rfam family "Bacterial small subunit ribosomal RNA", at positions 337 to 590 of the family's 1533-position model. The record is from RNAcentral.